ACCAGACUCCUACGGGAGGCAGCAGUGGGGAAUAUUGCACAAUGGGGGAAACCCUGACCCAGCAACGCCGCGUGAAGGAAGAAGGCUUUCGGGUUGUAAACUUCUUUUGACAGGGAAGAGCAGAAGACGGUACCUGUCGAAUAAGCCACGGCUAACUACGUGCCAGCAGCCGCGGUAAUACGUAGGUGGCAAGCGUUGUCCGGAUUUACUGGGUGUAAAGGGCGUGUAGCCGGGCUGACAAGUCAGAUGUGAAAUCCGGGGGCUCAACCCCCGAACUGCAUUUGAAACUGUUGGUCUUGAGUAUCGGAGAGGCAGGCGGAAUUCCUAGUGUAGCGGUGAAAUGCGUAGAUAUUAGGAGGAACACCAGUGGCGAAGGCGGCCUGCUGGACGACAACUGACGGUGAGGCGCGAAAGCGUGGGGAGCAAACAGGAUUAGAUACCCCUGUACAG
This 450-nucleotide ribosomal RNA is filed under the name uncultured bacterium. RNAcentral describes it as "bacterial SSU rRNA". It matches the Rfam family "Bacterial small subunit ribosomal RNA", at positions 330 to 793 of the family's 1533-position model. The record is from RNAcentral.